AGUCAUUUGGUGGGGUUUUAGUGAAAUCCAAUCUCUCGAACUAUGCAAUACACCACCUACUCCAUUUCAGAAAAAAUGUCGUACGAACCUGAAUUGUCCAAUAUCUUGGACCAAUCGAUAUCGGAUUGAGCCCAAAACAUGGAGAACCUCAUAAUAUGAUGGGAGGAGUCACUUGGUGGGUUUUUAGUGAAAUCCAACCACUAGAACAAUGUAAUACAUCAACUACUCCAUUUCAGAACGAAGUUCGUAUGAAACUGAAUUGUCCAAUUAGAUGGACCAAUCAAUAUCGGAUUGAGUCCAAACCUUGGGAAACACCAUAAUAUUAUGGGAGGAGUCAUUUGGUGGGGUUUGAGUGAAAUCCAAUCUCUAGAACUGUACAAU
Molecule: long non-coding RNA, 381 nt
Filed under: Prunus persica (peach)
Lineage: Eukaryota; Viridiplantae; Streptophyta; Magnoliopsida; Rosales; Rosaceae
Description: long non-coding RNA (PPER_LNC008093)
Source: RNAcentral